UACGAAGGGGGCUAGCGUUGCUCGGAAUCACUGGGCGUAAAGGGUGCGUAGGCGGGUCUUUAAGUCAGGGGUGAAAUCCUGGAGCUCAACUCCAGAACUGCCUUUGAUACUGAAGAUCUUGAGUUCGGGAGAGGUGAGUGGAACUGCGAGUGUAGAGGUGAAAUUCGUAGAUAUUGGGAAGAACACCGGUGGCGAAGGCGGCUCUCUGGACCGACACUGACGCUGAGGCGCGAAAGCGUGGGGAGCAAACAGG
RNAcentral lists this ribosomal RNA (253 nucleotides) under uncultured bacterium. Its description in RNAcentral is "partial 16S ribosomal RNA". It matches the Rfam family "Bacterial small subunit ribosomal RNA", at positions 524 to 776 of the family's 1533-position model. The record is from RNAcentral.